This 1129-nucleotide long non-coding RNA is filed under the name Apteryx rowi (Okarito brown kiwi). RNAcentral's name for it is "lncRNA (ENSARWG00000018294.1)". Lineage: Eukaryota; Metazoa; Chordata; Aves; Apterygiformes; Apterygidae. The record is from RNAcentral.
UGCUGGGGCAAUGCAGAGGUGGGUACAGCUCUGAUCUAUUUGUAGUGACGGGAAGGCUGCAGCCGAAUCACAUUAUGAGAGAUGCACACGGCGCUGGUCGGAGCUCUGAGCAAAGCCCCCUUUGCUUUUCCCUGUGCUUGCCCUGCAGUGGGCACAAGCACUCGGGAAAUCAGCAAAGAGACUGAGGAAGCUGGAGAGUCCCAGGAAACCUGCGGAGCUGGGAAGCAGGAAGGAGUGGGGGCCAUACAGAGUGGGGGGCUCCAGAACACUCCCAGUUUCCAACAUCCAGAUGGGGCCGAUGGAAGCCGGAGUUGCCCAGCACCCCUCAGGAUCAAGGUCUUUAAUUGUAAGAGUAACUACAGUGGACUGGAAAUCAAGGAUAUCCAUGAAUAAGAACUGCUUAAUUCAGAUGACUAGAUAUGGGAAGACAGAGAAUAAUACAUAAGAAGGGAAGGAGAAACAUGCUGAGCUGAAGCCACUCAAAAGGCCAACUUCUUUUUUCAGUCACUUUGCAUUGCGCUCCAAAUUGCAUCCAUUAGUUGAAACAUUUAUUUUACUAAUCCAGCACCAACUGGCUUUUCUUACAGUCAGCAGAGUAUUUUCAUGUGAACAGAGAAUUUGUGGAACUGGAUGGAAGGAUGGACCUGAAGACUUCAGUCCACUUCAUAAACUCAGGUACAGCAUGAGUUCAGUAGUGCGUGUCACACACAGACUGUCCUCAUAUUUGUACUGGUAUUGUCAACAGUACUAAGAGGCUCCUACAUCUUUUAGAGUCAUCUCUAUAUUGAUGAGGCAGAGCUAGGACAGAAAGUUAUUGUAAAAGGAUUACCUUAAUGAGAGAGCCACCUGCAGUCUUCAGGUCCCACUGAAAGUGGGGAUGAUUGUGGAGAGUACACAAAGACCCCAGCGCACAUGUGCAGUGUCAGAGGUUUGUGAGAGGAAGAGUUUGGGGGCAGCAUUGAUCCCUGUCAGUGAAACAUGGGGCUCCCUCAAGUCCUGCCUUGAGCCAUUCUCUUCCAUCCCCCUUUCCCUUGUACUGCUUCCCCCAGCCAUCUGCAGGAGCAACCUUGAGACGUCCCUGCCUUUCCAAAAAUCUUGCCAGUGCUACUGCAUCAAACUCAUGGUGCUG